RNAcentral lists this long non-coding RNA (2862 nucleotides) under Salvia miltiorrhiza (redroot sage). Its description in RNAcentral is "long non-coding RNA (SMIL_LNC005051)". The record is from RNAcentral. Lineage: Eukaryota; Viridiplantae; Streptophyta; Magnoliopsida; Lamiales; Lamiaceae.
AUCACUAUCACAAAACACUACAGCUACAUACCUACAAGCAUGCGGGAGAUAACGUGUGAGAAUAAAAAGAAGAAAAAUGAGAGAAACCUACAAGCAUGCGGGAGAUAACGCGUGAGUGUAAAAAGAAGAAAAAUGAGAGAAGACCAAUCGGCUCCUCCCUUCAAAUUCAGCCAACCACCAUCUCCAAUCCUUUGACUUUACAGCCAACAACUCACUUAUUAAAGCACCAGCCUAACACUUCAUUCCUUCUCUCAUACACCAACCACCAGAAAGGGAGAUGAAGAGAAGUUAAUUCCUGCUGCCAACUGCCAAGUAUCGAGAGGUGAGUCUUGGCCUAAGUUUCUUCAUUUCAUACUUGGUUCUUUCUGCAUUUGUUGAGGAAACAACAUUUGCAAAUUUCAGUUCCUUCCCCAUUGAAUUCAAUAAUAACAGCAGCCACCAACACAAACUCAUGCAAGGUAUAUACUAUCUCAGUACUCUUCAUGCUACAUGAUUCACACCAAUAAGCAUAUCUUCAGAUUUAAUUAUUUAGAGUAAAGCAUGAAGUGAAUGGCAUAACACUAGAAUUUUUAUGUGAGACAAGUACCUUAAGUUCAGUUUAGCAGAUUGACUCUUGAACACAAACACCCAAUACAGCAAUAUCAUUUAUGAGAAUCAUAGAAUACUAGUUUCCAAGAGAUUUACUUUCACACCGAACUUAGAAUUUUAAGGGGAAUGGGGGUAUUUUACUGUACCUGAUUCAAUAAAUCGAGAAGGGGGCGACUUGUCUGUUCCGUUGAACCAGAGGGCAGACGGCGGUGACUCUCUCGCCUGCGCUAAGAGGACUGAGGGUUUGGCUUUUUCCUCGUUCGUGUACGCGAGUGAAAGGGGGGAGCAGCAGCAGCGCCGCCUGCCCUAAUUAACCGCCCACCGGAGGAGCGAGGAAGGAGACGCUGACUCCAGGCGCGACGGCGCAGUGAGCGUUCGCAGGCAAGUGCGAGCGGACUCCGCUGUUUCGCCGGAGAGAGAGAGAGCCGCGGCGGUGGGUUCCGGCUGAUGGGAGAGAGAGUCGGAGUAUUUGUGUGUGUUCUGAUGAGGGAGAUCGAGGAAGAUGGAGGCGGCAGCCUUCCAGCCUUGAAUUCGCCGGAAGGCAGACUGCGGCGGCCGAGCUUUGAGAGAGUUUUUGGUCUGAACCGAGAGAGGCGCGAGGGAGAGAUGAGCUGUGUGUGUGUGUGCGUGUGUUUCUUUGAAGAGAGAGAAAGAGAUCUGAAAUUGUGAGGGAGAAGAGAGAGGGAUAAGAAACGUAGAGAGAGAGAGAGAGAUAAAUGGGCUUAAAUUUGGGCCUCCACUUUGGGCCAAAGUUUUAAAACAAACUAAAAUUGGGCUUUUGUAUGGGCCGAUUUUAUUGGUUUUAUUUUCUGUUGGGCCGAAAAUAUAGAAGGAAAGUGAAUGGGCUUAAGUCAGUUUGAGCUUGAGUUUUGGGGCUAUUUUUGUUGGGCUUGUUUAAAUGAUUUUAAUUAGUCUGGACUGAUUUUUUUUUAUAAACUGGGCUGCGUUUUAUUUAAUUGUUCGGGCUCUGAAUUAUUUUAUUGAGCCAAUAAAUUUAUUAGAUUUCACACUUUAUAAUUAGUUUAAUUAAUUUAUUUCAAAGACUAGUUUUCAUAAUAAUAUUAAAUUAUUAUUAUUAUGUGCAUAUUUUAAGUAAUUUCUUAUUAUAUGCCAAGCAUGACAUGAAAUUGCAUUAUAUUUUUGCAAUAAGAGUAUUUAAGAUUUAAUUGGUUUUAUUUAUAAUUCCAAUUAUUAAAGAAAGAUGAGUAAGAAUAUUGUUGGUGUUCUUAACUCAAGAGAAAUGAUUUCAAUUAUUUAUUCAUUAAAUUUUGAAAACCGACUAAGUGAAUCAUAGAAUGUUAAGCACUACACCAUGACUUAAGAUUAGAUUCAAGGAGACCUAUUAAGAAUAGAAUUUCUUGUAGGCUUUGUGACCAGGGGGACUAGCGCUGCUUUCCCAAGACAGGUUUUUAUGUGUAUGAUCUUCAGGCUUUGCCUAUCCAGGUGGGCAUUACUUUUACUAUACGUAUAUAGAGAUCCCCUGCGUGUCGUAGGCCUCUUAUACGAAUGAAUGCAUGAGAUGAUUUAACUGUUAAUUUCAGUUUUAUAUAUCUAUCAAAUGAGUUUAAUGUUACAUUUGAGCAAGUUAUUUCGUUACAAAAUAUUUGAGUUAAAGUUAUUUCAAGUAUUGUCUUGCCAUAAAAUGUUUAAAUUUUAGUAUGAUAUCUAUCUGCUUUGGCUUUGCCAAUGAUGCAAUCGAAUUCGGGUCCUGAGCAGUUGAUAGCUAUCCUGCCAGGGCUAGUGUACACCAGUGACCGUGAGUCAUCUAGCGGGUUGGCCGGUCAAGUGACCGUGAGAGGUGGCCACCUCUCCGGCACAAAGUUCCAGAUAUGAUAGAUUACAAGAGAACUUAGUCUGCAGACGAACUUUAAGAAUCACAAAUGAAUUUAGUAAGCUUGGGCCUUUUUAGCGAAAAACUCCCUUGCUGUACUGUUUAUAAUGGCAUGACAAUUUACAGUUUUGAAGCAUGUAUUUUUAUACCUAGGCAUACGUGCCCACUGAGUGCUUUUGUACUCAGCCCUGCAUAUGUUUUCUAAAUGUGCAGGUUGAGCUGAUGUGAUGAUGGUGCUGCAAUGAGCGGAGUCUCCAGGGUUGUUAAUAAAUAGUUAACCUGUCUAGAAUAUGUCUUCAUACAUAUGUCUAGCUACUUUUCGCUGCAAGAUGUUGUUGAUGUUAUAGUAUGUUAUGUCAUACUUUGAGUCUUAAGAGAAUGGUUUCAUAUGAUGUAUAACUUGAUUAAUGAUAUUAAUUAAGUUUUAUGCUGUCUUUCAUAGA